CAAACAGAGUUUCAGGUGAGAUCUGAGUUGGAUAAACAAGUGGCCCAUUUGUUGUUUUCUUCCCAGUUUCCUCGCUCUGUUUGCAUAAACAAACUCCCUCUCAGCUCCAAACGAAGUGGCACGAGCAAACAGUCGUGCAAAUUGAAAAACAACCACACAGUCACUAAAUAGUUUUUGUUCACGCUGAUAACUUUACGGUAUUUGACCAAAAUUGGCUGUGCAUAACUUCGGAAACGUUACGAGAAUGCAGCUGUAGAACCCAAAACGAUUGUCGCAAAACUGAUCUUUAAGAUUAUUAUUAAAUUGCAUGGACCUAGCAGACAACGGGAUCUAAUGUGAUAUUUCACCCUGGCCGGAUCAUCGCUGGAUUGGAACCCGCUGCCGAACUCCUACCAGAAGCUUUGUUGUUGUUGACUUUAUUGUUAUUGAAGAUUUAUCUCCUCACCUAGCUGGCUAUGUUUUGUCUACCCAAAAUCCCCACAACCCUUUUAUUUACCCAAAGUUUGUUUAGUUUUUAACCUAACGUCACCCGUCGACAACCCGCGUUAGUUAUCAAUACCAGAUCGAGCAAAACAACCAAAUAACUGGGCUCUUACAAUUCAUAAAUAACUCUGUUUUAUUUUCUGUCAAAUCCUUUUCGAGACCCAUUUUUGAGAACUCGACUUGUUUUGGGUUGUUUUCGACAAACAUUUUUGCUUAUUUUUGCUCCUUAUGCCGUUAAGGUCUUGAAGCUCUCUACCUUCGAAAAUUUGAACUCAACAUUCAGUUGAUAACAGUAAACUCUAUUUGUUUGGCAGCUUAUUUUCCAAGCUUUUCGCCGAGAAGUUAUUUAUUUUGUUCAUUGCUUUACAAAUAUUUAUGUUUGCGUUUCGUAGCUAGAAAGGGUAAACAGUUUCGACGAAAACGACAAUAAAGUAAGCUAUAUAAAUUUCCCCUUCUUUUGUCUCGCACAAGAAGUUAUUCUUCUUUUCACUGCUUGAAUUAACCGAUUGAGACUUUGGCGCUUC
Molecule: long non-coding RNA, 1007 nt
Organism: Symsagittifera roscoffensis
Lineage: Eukaryota; Metazoa; Xenacoelomorpha; Acoela; Convolutidae
Exons: 3
Source: RefSeq, a predicted model, not a curated record